RNAcentral lists this transfer RNA (76 nucleotides) under Methanocaldococcus villosus KIN24-T80. Its description in RNAcentral is "tRNA-Arg". It matches the Rfam family "tRNA". Rfam says of the family: Transfer RNA (tRNA) molecules are approximately 80 nucleotides in length. The record is from RNAcentral. Lineage: Archaea; Methanobacteriati; Methanobacteriota; Methanococci; Methanococcales; Methanocaldococcaceae.
GGACCCGUAGCCUAGCCUGGAUAGGCACCGGCCUUCUAAGCCGGGGGUCGGGGGUUCAAAUCCCCCGGGUCCGCCA